AGUGAACGCUGGCGGUAGGCCUAACACAUGCAAGUCGAACGACAGCCCAGUAAGAGCUUGCUCUUACGGGUGGCGAGUGGCGGACGGGUGUGGCAUACAUCGGCAUCUAAUUUUUCGUGGGGGAUGACGUAGGGAAACUUACGCUAAUACCGCAUACGACCUACGGGUGAAAGCAGGGGAUCUUCGGACGUUGCGCGAUAUAAUGAUGCGAUGUCGGUUUAGCUAGUUGGCGGGGUAAAGGCCUACCAAGGCGACGUUCCGUAGCUGGUCUGAGAGGAUGGUCAGACACACUGGAACUGAGACACGGUCCAGAGUCCUACGGGAGGCAGCAGUGGGGAAUAUUGGACAAGGGGCGCAAGCCUGAUCCAGCCAUACCGCGUGGGUGAAGAAGGCGUUCGGGUUGUAAAGCCCUUUUGUUGGGAAAGAAAAGCAGCAGGUUAAUACCCCGCUGUUCUGACGGUACCCAAAGAAUAAGCACCGGCUAACUUCGUG
This 492-nucleotide ribosomal RNA is filed under the name uncultured bacterium. RNAcentral's name for it is "partial 16S ribosomal RNA". It matches the Rfam family "Bacterial small subunit ribosomal RNA", at positions 29 to 507 of the family's 1533-position model. The record is from RNAcentral.